RNAcentral lists this ribosomal RNA (496 nucleotides) under uncultured bacterium. RNAcentral describes it as "partial 16S ribosomal RNA". It matches the Rfam family "Bacterial small subunit ribosomal RNA", at positions 28 to 506 of the family's 1533-position model. The record is from RNAcentral.
GAUGAACGCUGGCGGCGUGCCUAAUACAUGCAAGUCGAGCGAACAGACGAGGAGCUUGCUCCUCUGACGUUAGCGGCGGACGGGUGAGUAACACGUGGAUAACCUACCUAUAAGACUGGGAUAACUUCGGGAAACCGGAGCUAAUACCGGAUAAUAUAUUGAACCGCAUGGUUCAAUAGUGAAAGACGGUUUUGCUGUCACUUAUAGAUGGAUCCGCGCCGCAUUAGCUAGUUGGUAAGGUAACGGCUUACCAAGGCAACGAUGCGUAGCCGACCUGAGAGGGUGAUCGGCCAAACUGGAACUGGGACACGGUCCAGACUCCUACGGGAGGCAGCAGUAGGGAAUCUUCCGCAAUGGGCGAAAGCUUGACGGAGCAACGCCGCGUGGGUGAUGAAGGUCUUCGGAUCGUAAAACUCUGUUAUUAGGGAAGAACAAAUGUGUAAGUAACUAUGCACGUCUGGACGGUACCUAAGCAGAAAGCCACGGCUAACUACGU